CAACCCUUCCCCCCUAUUGAAUGAAUUUAUUAAUUUAUAAAAGCCACUAUGCCUAAACUAGUAACAAGAAUAUGAAAUUCUCCUUAAUGUAAGCCUAAGCCGUAAUGGACACCCCAACGGCAAUUAAAGUUAAUAAACCCAUUAUAAUAACCACUACGAAAAACUUAUAAUAGUAAACGUUAACCUAACACAAGAACAUUCUAGGAAAGAUUAAAAGGGGGAGAAGGAACUCGGCAAAUCUUAAUCCCGCCUGUUUACCAAAAACAUCGCCUCUUGUUAAAUUAUAAGAGGUCUAGCCUGCCCAAUGACUUCUUAAAUGGCCGCGGUAUCCUAACCGUGCUAAGGUAGCACAAUAACUUGUUCUUUAAAUGAGGACUUGUAUGAAUGGCAUCACGAGGAUUACACUGUCUCCUCCCCCCAAUCAGUAAAACUGACCCCCCUGUGAAAAGGCAGGGAUUAUAUCAUAAGACGAGAAGACCCCAUGGAGCUUCAGACUAAGAGCACAUCUAACCCCCACUCCAUUAAAACCCCAGAUCCCUGACUCCCAAUCUUAGGUUGGGGCGACCAUGGAGUAUAAUUUAACCUCCAUGCUGAACGGACAAAUCCUAAUCUAAGAGUCACAACUCUAAGAAUCAAAAAACUGACAGCUACUGAUCCGAAAUUCGAUCAACGAACCAAGUUACCCUGGGGAUAACAGCGCCAUCUACCUUGAGAGUUCAUAUCGACAGGUGGGUUUACGACCUCGAUGUUGGAUCAGGGUAUCCCUGUGGUGCAGCCGCUACAUAAACCC
Molecule: ribosomal RNA, 790 nt
Filed under: Platymantis subterrestris (Luzon wrinkled ground frog)
Lineage: Eukaryota; Metazoa; Chordata; Amphibia; Anura; Ceratobatrachidae
Description: partial 16S ribosomal RNA
Rfam family: Bacterial large subunit ribosomal RNA
Source: RNAcentral